This 515-nucleotide ribosomal RNA is filed under the name Staphylococcus haemolyticus. RNAcentral's name for it is "bacterial SSU rRNA". It matches the Rfam family "Bacterial small subunit ribosomal RNA", at positions 19 to 516 of the family's 1533-position model. The record is from RNAcentral. Lineage: Bacteria; Bacillati; Bacillota; Bacilli; Caryophanales; Staphylococcaceae.
CUGGCUCAGGAUGAACGCUGGCGGCGUGCCUAAUACAUGCAAGUCGAGCGAACAGANAAGGAGCUUGCUCCUUUGACGUUAGCGGCGGACGGGUGAGUAACACGUGGGUAACCUACCUAUAAGACUGGGAUAACUUCGGGAAACCGGAGCUAAUACCGGAUAAUAUUUCGAACCGCAUGGUUCGAUAGUGAAAGAUGGUUUUGCUAUCACUUAUAGAUGGACCCGCGCCGUAUUAGCUAGUUGGUAAGGUAACGGCUUACCAAGGCGACGAUACGUAGCCGACCUGAGAGGGUGAUCGGCCACACUGGAACUGAGACACGGUCCAGACUCCUACGGGAGGCAGCAGUAGGGAAUCUUCCGCAAUGGGCGAAAGCCUGACGGAGCAACGCCGCGUGAGUGAUGAAGGUCUUCGGAUCGUAAAACUCUGUUAUUAGGGAAGAACAUACGUGUAAGUAACUNUGCACGUCUUGACGGUACCUAAUCAGAAAGCCACGGCUAACUACGUGCCAGCAGCC